GAUGAACGCUGGCGGCGUGCUUAACACAUGCAAGUCGAACGGAAAGGCUCCUGCUUGCUGGGGUACUCGAGUGGCGAACGGGUGAGUAACACGUGGGUGAUCUGCCCUGCACUUCGGGAUAAGCCUGGGAAACUGGGUCUAAUACCGGAUAGGACGAUGGUUUGGAUGCCAUUGUGGAAAGUUUUUUCGGUGUGGGAUGAGCUUGCGGCCUAUCAGCUUGUUGGUGGGGUAAUGGCCUACCAAGGCGUCGACGGGUAGCCGGCCUGAGAGGGUGUACGGCCACAUUGGGACUGAGAUACGGCCCAGACUCCUACGGGAGGCAGCAGUGGGGAAUAUUGCACAAUGGGCGCAAGCCUGAUGCAGCGACGCCGCGUGGGGGAUGACGGCCUUCGGGUUGUAAACUCCUUUCGCUAGGGACGAAGCGCAAGUGACGGUACCUGGAGAAGAAGCACCGGCUAACUACGUG
Molecule: ribosomal RNA, 466 nt
Filed under: uncultured bacterium
Lineage: Bacteria
Description: partial 16S ribosomal RNA
Rfam family: Bacterial small subunit ribosomal RNA
Source: RNAcentral